AUUGAACGCUGGCGGCAUGCCUUACACAUGCAAGUCGAACGGCAGCACGGGUGCUUGCACCUGGUGGCGAGUGGCGAACGGGUGAGUAAUACAUCGGAACAUGUCCUGUCGUGGGGGAUAGCCCGGCGAAAGCCGGAUUAAUACCGCAUACGAUCUACGAAUGAAAGCGGGGGACCUUCGGGCCUCGCGCUAUAGGGUUGGCCGAUGGCUGAUUAGCUAGUUGGUGGGGUAAAGGCCUACCAAGGCGACGAUCAGUAGCUGGUCUGAGAGGACGAUCAGCCACACUGGGACUGAGACACGGCCCAGACUCCUACGGGAGGCAGCAGUGGGGAAUUUUGGACAAUGGGCGAAAGCCUGAUCCAGCAAUGCCGCGUGUGUGAAGAAGGCCUUCGGGUUGUAAAGCACUUUUGUCCGGAAAGAAAUCCUUGGCCCUAAUACGGUCGGGGGAUGACGGUACCGGAAGAAUAAGCACCGGCUAACUACGUG
This 486-nucleotide ribosomal RNA is filed under the name uncultured bacterium. Its description in RNAcentral is "partial 16S ribosomal RNA". It matches the Rfam family "Bacterial small subunit ribosomal RNA", at positions 30 to 507 of the family's 1533-position model. The record is from RNAcentral.